This 464-nucleotide ribosomal RNA is filed under the name uncultured Thiobacillus sp. RNAcentral describes it as "bacterial SSU rRNA". It matches the Rfam family "Bacterial small subunit ribosomal RNA", at positions 915 to 1382 of the family's 1533-position model. Lineage: Bacteria; Pseudomonadati; Pseudomonadota; Betaproteobacteria; Nitrosomonadales; Thiobacillaceae. The record is from RNAcentral.
UUGGCGGGACCGCACAAGCGGUGGAUGAUGUGGUUUAAUUCGAUGCAACGCGAAAACCUUACCACCUUUGACAUGUACGGAAGUUGCCAGAGAUGGCUUGGUGCCCGAAAGGGAAUCGGAACACAGGUGCUGCAUGGCUGUCGUCAGCUCGUGUCGUGAGAUGUUGGGUUAAGUCCCGCAACGAGCGCAACCCUUAUCAUUAGUUGCUACGCAAGGGCACUCUAAUGAGACUGCCGGUGACAAACCGGAGGAAGGUGGGGAUGACGUCAAGUCCUCAUGGCCCUUAUGGGUAGGGCUUCACACGUCAUACAAUGGUCGGUACAGAGGGUUGCCAAGCCGCGAGGCGGAGCCAAUCCCACAAAGCCGAUCGUAGUCCGGAUUGUUCUCUGCAACUCGAGAGCAUGAAGUCGGAAUCGCUAGUAAUCGCAGGUCAGCAUACUGCGGUGAAUACGUUCCCGGGUCUU